GCUUUCAUGAACAUUUUAUCAUGCCAAAGAAAAUAUACUAGGUAUUGUGCUCUGCUUUAAACAAACCCAAUAUAUGAACGGAUUGACAAAGUAGUGGCAGGUUAUUAGCAAAAAGUUUCAACAUAAUUAGUAACAACAAGCUUUUCUGGUGCAUUUUUAAACAAUUAGUUUAAUCAGUUCACACCUGCCUCGCUGUCACAUACAUAAUGUCUAUUUCCUUGAAACAUCUUCCAGUCAAAUGUAUUACAACCAACAGGAACAAGAACAAAAUCGAUGUUCUUAUCGUUUUCAGUUCAGCUUCUGACAAAAAAAUACUGAAGUCAUUGGGGCAAUUCUUGCCCUACAGUAUGGGUAGAGUUGUGUUAGAUACAAAGUGAGACAAUAGGAAACAUUUUUAAAUGAACAACAAGCUUUCACAGAGACUGUCUCUAUCACAUUGUUAUUACAACAUAGAUGAGCUGAAACUUCAUUUGUAUAGAUUUAGAGGAAAGAAGACCCUAAAGAGACAACAAGCAUAUAGAGGUAGUUGAAUAGCAAUAUGGGAAGAAAAAAAAGAAGCAUUAUAUUUAUUCCCCGUUUGGGUCAUUACAAUGCAAGAGUAAAAUGGCUGCUUAACAAACAAUGGGAAUUACAAACACAAAGACACAUUUGCCACUGUUUAAAUGGCUUGCUUGAUAUUUUAAUCCUGGCAUUACCAAGAACUGCAUAAAAUGAUGGAACUAGUUUAUCUAAGGUAAAGCCUAUGAAGCCACACUGAACUAUUUGCUCUCCUUUGAUUUUGUUGUUGUUUAUUAUCAUUGCUUUGACUAUAGAUAAAUGUCAAGCAACUUUUAAAAUGAAGCAUAAGCUACAGUGUUGCUUUGUAAACUUGUUAAUCACAUUUGCUGCG
RNAcentral lists this long non-coding RNA (889 nucleotides) under Bos taurus (domestic cattle). Its description in RNAcentral is "long non-coding RNA NONBTAT026163". Lineage: Eukaryota; Metazoa; Chordata; Mammalia; Artiodactyla; Bovidae. The record is from RNAcentral.